RNAcentral lists this ribosomal RNA (159 nucleotides) under Cratiria submuriformis. RNAcentral's name for it is "Buellia submuriformis 5.8S ribosomal RNA". It matches the Rfam family "5.8S ribosomal RNA". From Rfam's summary of the family: 5.8S ribosomal RNA (5.8S rRNA) is a component of the large subunit of the eukaryotic ribosome. It is transcribed by RNA polymerase I as part of the 45S precursor that also contains 18S and 28S rRNA. Functionally, it is thought that 5.8S rRNA may be involved in ribosome translocation. The record is from RNAcentral. Lineage: Eukaryota; Fungi; Ascomycota; Lecanoromycetes; Caliciales; Caliciaceae. RNAcentral also lists the same sequence under 1 other name.
AAAACUUUCAACAACGGAUCUCUUGGUUCUGGCAUCGAUGAAGAACGCAGCGAAAUGCGAUAAGUAAUGUGAAUUGCAGAAUUCAGUGAAUCAUCGAAUCUUUGAACGCACAUUGCGCCCUCUGGUAUUCCGGGGGGCAUGCCUGUUCGAGCGUCGUUA